RNAcentral lists this long non-coding RNA (798 nucleotides) under Parus major (Great Tit). RNAcentral's name for it is "lncRNA (ENSPMJG00000005004.1)". Lineage: Eukaryota; Metazoa; Chordata; Aves; Passeriformes; Paridae. The record is from RNAcentral.
UUGCCCAUUUCUUAUGUGUUUAAAGACUAAUUAUAAGAAUAAAGAUUUAGUGAUCAAUGCAGAAUUCUAAUUUAAUUGUUGAGUAUUAGAAUGCAUUUUCUCCCCCUCUUCUAACUUAGAAACUGAAUUUUUUUUUUUUUUCAUUUUUUUCCUACCUGGCAAAAGCUAAUUUAAUCCAACUGGAUUGCACAUUCGAAAUGUACAGAAUUUUGGUCCGAUUUACCGAGUAUCACUCCCUGGAUAUAGCUCAAUUUUCCCUCACAGGACUGACAGAUGCCUAAAUGCAAGAGAUUGUUCUUGUCAAGGGAGGCACUGACACAAAUUCAGUUGUGUGGGUUGUUGGCUCUGUCUGAUGUUGUCCCUUCUAAUGCUACAGAACAAAUCACCUUGCACAAGGAUCUGGGAAUCUCAUUGCUGCUCUCUUUGUUCGGGCCCAGAGGUUCCUCUUCUGCUGCACUUCUGGAGUUAGUCCUGUUGCACUGGUGCUGUUCAGGAGAAGGUGAACUGACAGUAACUCUGCUUUGUCUCUCUUGUGACCACACCAAAACCCUGAGGACUGGGGCUGAUCAUGCUGAGAUUUGGGCAGCACCUCAUCAAGCCCUCGGUGGUGUUCCUGAGGACGGAGCUGUGCUUUGCCCUGGUGAACCGCAGGCCGGUGGUGCCAGGACGUAUCCUUUCCACAGCCGAUCCUGGGAAAAGCAGCACACGCUCGGGGAGCUUGGAAGGCCAGGUAGGAUGGAAUAAUAUUCCUGGUUUAUUCCAAAAACCAGGCAGUGAUGCUUGAUCAGAAGAUGCUUG